Long non-coding RNA from Chinchilla lanigera (long-tailed chinchilla), 525 nucleotides. RefSeq lists it as uncharacterized. NCBI's taxonomy places the organism in Eukaryota, Metazoa, Chordata, Mammalia, Rodentia, Chinchillidae. The record is from RefSeq and is a predicted model, not a curated record. The transcript is spliced from 3 exons.
AGGCCUGUGCACCUGGAAACUGGGCUAUUAUGUUCUUAGCUCUCUAAUCUCUUUUACUAUAGCACAGCAGCAACCAUCAAAAGGCUCCUAAUUAGGGUACUGGGGUGCAAAUGCCUUUUUCCCCCGACCUGCAGUGACUCUGGAGUGUCUGAGAUCCAGCAUCCGCUUCCUGGUUAGAGGCUGCCACCUAUAGCCGGGUGUGGUUCUGUUGAUCACCAAACACCGGAACCUCCCUCACAGUUGAAGAUGUUGAGCUUAUGCUUUCCCCUGCUGCUAUGUCUGCCUAGGCACAGCGUCUGUGCAAUCCUUUGUCCAUCUUGUGGUCAUCGCUCACCUUUUAAAGAUUCUGCCAAGUCCUGUCUCCAGGGGAUUCUGCAGUCGAAAACAGGUCUCUUCUGGUUCCAGAUGAAUUUUAGGAAUGUUUUCUGUAGUUCUGUAAGGUAUGAAGACACAAGUGUAGACAAAGACUUCAUGAGCAAAACCCUGAUGUCACAGGAAGUACUAUAAAGAAUCAACAUCUGGGAU